This 326-nucleotide ribosomal RNA is filed under the name uncultured Bacteroidota bacterium. Its description in RNAcentral is "bacterial SSU rRNA". It matches the Rfam family "Bacterial small subunit ribosomal RNA", at positions 28 to 351 of the family's 1533-position model. Lineage: Bacteria; Pseudomonadati; Bacteroidota. The record is from RNAcentral.
GAUGAACGCUAGCGGCAGGCCUAACACAUGCAAGUCGAGGGGUAACAGGAGUAGCAAUACUUGCUGACGACCGGCGCACGGGUGAGUAACGCGUAUGCAACCUACCCAUAACAGUGGGAUAGCCCGGAGAAAUUCGGAUUAAUACCGCAUAAUAUUAUCGGACCGCAUGGUUUGAUGAUUAAAUUUACGGAGGUUAUGGAUGGACAUGCGUGACAUUAGAUAGUUGGUGAGGUAACGGCUCACCAAGUCAGCGAUGUCUAGGGGGCCUGAGAGGGUAAUCCCCCACACUGGUACUGAGACACGGACCAGACUCCUACGGGAGGCAG